This 17-nucleotide small RNA is filed under the name Arabidopsis thaliana (thale cress). RNAcentral describes it as "ATSL231020". The record is from RNAcentral. Lineage: Eukaryota; Viridiplantae; Streptophyta; Magnoliopsida; Brassicales; Brassicaceae.
AAUGUAACAGUAGUAAA